GGGGGUGCACUGGUUUCGACUGGGGAGCUAAGUGAUGAUGGCAUGCGGAGGAUAUCGGUUGGCCUCCUAAAAAAACCGGUAAAAACCACAAUUGCAGAUACACAAACGUAUGCAAUAGCUGCUUAAUUUAAACGAGUAGCACGAUACUAUGACUUUUGACCAAGGGUGUCAUGGUAUUGUUAUUUUACUUGGUAUGGGUAGAGCUACCGUCCGCCUCUAGGGCGUUCUAUUCCGAGAUAAAACGAGGCAAGCUUGUUCCCGUGUUGUGUUCUUCACAAGGAGCAGGUGUUAUUAUGAGAACACUAAGCAUGUAGAUAUCAUUGUGGACCUUGCUCAGGACGAGAGUUCGAUUCUCUCCACCUCCAUCA
Molecule: transfer-messenger RNA, 368 nt
Filed under: Chlamydiales (chlamydias)
Lineage: Bacteria; Pseudomonadati; Chlamydiota; Chlamydiia
Also listed under: 1 other name
Description: JABHNK01 sp018694295 Standard tmRNA
Rfam family: transfer-messenger RNA
About the family: Bacterial tmRNA, also known as 10Sa RNA or SsrA, is named for its dual tRNA and mRNA-like properties. Its role is to liberate the mRNA from a stalled ribosome.
Source: RNAcentral